Non-coding RNA from Nicotiana tabacum (common tobacco), 592 nucleotides. The record is from RefSeq and is a predicted model, not a curated record. NCBI's taxonomy places the organism in Eukaryota, Viridiplantae, Streptophyta, Magnoliopsida, Solanales, Solanaceae.
CAGUACUCUAUCUCUAAGUUCUAACGCCUAAUUCCUAAAUAAUCAGAACAUAAACCCUAACGCCUACUCCAUCUCGUCCUCUCGCCACCAUCUCCCUCUCCCUCUCCCCAUAGCUACCAUCUCCCUCUCGCCGACUCGCCAUAGCCAGAUCAGCAGUCAGCAGAUGAUUUAGCUAGCAAUGGAAAAGACCCUUCCUUAAUUGACGUGUAGUGUUAAUAUAUCUUGGAUCUGCUUACUUAUGGAUUAAGCUGUUGUUUGAACUUUGAAGCUGUAGAAAUUCAAGCACCGUUUGGCAUUAGCUGAAGGCCAAACAUUUCUGUGUAGUCUGCUCACUUAUGGAUUAAUCAUUUUGAAAUAUGUAUUCUGGACUCACUUUGAAUAUAGACUGAAAUUUCCUAUUCUUAAUUUGUAUGCUAGGUGUUAACAGACAUAUGUAUGUCUGGACUCAUAUGUAAUGUAGUCUGCUUUGGGAUGUAAUAUUGUAAUGAUAGGCGUUACAAACGUAUGUAUGUCUGGACUCAUAUGUUAACGCCUAUGAGUAGUGACGUUGAAGUUAUAUAAUAUAUUGUUGAUUUAAGGUAGUGAACUUUUC